GAUGAACGCUGGCGGCGUGCCUAAUACAUGCAAGUCGAGCGAACGGAUGAGAAGCUUGCUUCUCUGAUGUUAGCGGCGGACGGGUGAGUAACACGUGGAUAACCUACCUAUAAGACUGGGAUAACUUCGGGAAACCGGAGCUAAUACCGGAUAAUAUUUUGAACCGCAUGGUUCAAUAGUGAAAGACGGUUUUGCUGUCACUUAUAGAUGGAUCCGCGCUGCAUUAGCUAGUUGGUAAGGUAACGGCUUACCAAGGCAACGAUGCAUAGCCGACCUGAGAGGGUGAUCGGCCACACUGGAACUGAGACACGGUCCAGACUCCUACGGGAGGCAGCAGUAGGGAAUCUUCCGCAAUGGGCGAAAGCCUGACGGAGCAACGCCGCGUGAGUGAUGAAGGUCUUCGGAUCGUAAAACUCUGUUAUUAGGGAAGAACAUAUGUGUAAGUAACUGUGCACAUCUUGACGGUACCUAAUCAGAAAGCCACGGCUAACUACGUG
Molecule: ribosomal RNA, 497 nt
Filed under: uncultured bacterium
Lineage: Bacteria
Description: partial 16S ribosomal RNA
Rfam family: Bacterial small subunit ribosomal RNA
Source: RNAcentral